Molecule: long non-coding RNA, 284 nt
Filed under: Lathyrus oleraceus (garden pea)
Lineage: Eukaryota; Viridiplantae; Streptophyta; Magnoliopsida; Fabales; Fabaceae
Description: Pisum sativum (pea) long non-coding RNA (PSAT_LNC015602)
Source: RNAcentral
UUCUGAACCUGUGACUUGUGAAAUUCAUCUGUUACAUGGGCUAUUUCUGAAGAAGAUCAUGGAAUGGAUAAGCUUGGAUGAGGCCAUCUUUAUUUGAUUCCUUUUCUCUUCAACAUAAUAUAAUUGUGCAUUUGUGUGUUGCUUGAUUCUAAAAGUCCAAGGGAAUUCUGGGUUUCUAUUGACAUUUUUGUCUAUUGGAUUACUACCCAUUUGGUCAGAUCUUUUCAACUCUAAACUUUUAAAUUUUGUGCAUAGGGUAGUCUCUUCAUCUUCUCCUAACUUCU